GGGAUUGCCUCAGUAACGGCGAGUGAAGCGGCAACAGCUCAAAUUUGAAAUCUGGCCUCUUUGGGGUCCGAGUUGUAAUUUGUAGAGGAUGUUUCGGGUACCGCCUCGGUUUAAAUUUCUUGGAACAGAAUGUCAGAGAGGGUGAGAAUCCCGUCUUGGACCGGCGGUGGGCCCAUGUGAAACUCCUUCGACGAGUCGAGUUGUUUGGGAAUGCAGCUCAAAAUGGGUGGUAAAUUUCAUCUAAAGCUAAAUAUUGGCCAGAGACCGAUAGCGCACAAGUAGAGUGAUCGAAAGAUGAAAAGCACUUUGAAAAGAGAGUUAAACAGUAUGUGAAAUUGUUGAAAGGGAAGCGCUUACAACCAGACUUGAGCGCGGCGGUUCCCCCUUCCUUUUGGUUGGGUUACUCCGUCGUGUCCAGGCCAACAUCGGUUCUGGGGGUCGGUCAAAGGCUUUGGGAAUGUAUCUACCCUUCGGGCGUAGACUUAUAGCCCAGAGUGUCAUGCGGCCUCCCGGGACCGAGGAACGCGCUUCGGCUCGGAUGUUGGCGUAAUGGUUGUCAGCGACCCGUCUUGAAACACGGACCAAGGAGUCUAACAUCUAUGCGAGUGUUUGGGUGUCAAACCCGUAACGCGAAAUGAAAGUGAACGGAGGUAGGAAGCCGCAAGGCUGCACUAUCGACCGAUCCUGAUGUCUUCGGAUGGAUUUGAGUAAGAGCAUAGCUGUUGGGACCCGAAAGAUGGUGAACUAUGCCUGAAUAGGGUAAAGCCAGAGGAAACUCUGGUGGAGGCUCGCAGCGGUUCUGACGUGCAAAUCGAUCGUCAAAUUUAGGUAUAGGGGCGAAAGACUAA
RNAcentral lists this ribosomal RNA (848 nucleotides) under Thysanorea papuana. RNAcentral describes it as "LSU rRNA". It matches the Rfam family "Eukaryotic large subunit ribosomal RNA", at positions 71 to 934 of the family's 3401-position model. The record is from RNAcentral. Lineage: Eukaryota; Fungi; Ascomycota; Eurotiomycetes; Chaetothyriales; Herpotrichiellaceae.